UUGUGUCUUCGAGUCGUUGAUUUCACACUGCCGAGAAAAGCCUCUAGAUAGAAAAUAGGUGCCCGUACCGCAAACCGACACAGGUAGUCAAGAUGAGAAUUCUAAGGUGAGCGAGCGAACUCUCGUUAAGGAACUCGGCAAAAUGACCCCGUAACUUCGGGAGAAGGGGUGCUCUUUAGGGUUAACGCCCAGAAGAGCCGCAGUGAAUAGGCCCAAGCGACUGUUUAUCAAAAACACAGGUCUCUGCUAAACCGUAAGGUGAUGUAUAGGGGCUGACGCCUGCCCGGUGCUGGAAGGUUAAGAGGAGUGGUUAGCUUCUGCGAAGCUACGAAUCGAAGCCCCAGUAAACGGCGGCCGUAACUAUAACGGUCCUAAGGUAGCGAAAUUCCUUGUCGGGUAAGUUCCGACCCGCACGAAAGGCGUAACGAUUUGGGCACUGUCUCAACGAGAGACUCGGUGAAAUCAUAGUACCUGUGAAGAUGCAGGUUACCCGCGACAGGACGGAAAGACCCCGUGGAGCUUUACUGUAGCCUGAUAUUGAAAUUCGGCACAGCUUGUACAGGAUAGGUAGGAGCCUUUGAAACGUGAGCGCUAGCUUACGUGGAGGCGCUGGUGGGAUACUACCCUAGCUGUGUUGGCUUUCUAACCCGCACCACUUAUCGUGGUGGGAGACAGUGUCAGGCGGGCAGUUUGACUGGGGCGGUCGCCUCCUAAAAGGUAACGGAGGCGCUCAAAGGUUCCCUCAGAAUGGUUGGAAAUCAUUCAUAGAGUGUAAAGGCAUAAGGGAGCUUGACUGCGAGACCUACAAGUCGAGCAGGGUCGAAAGACGGACUUAGUGAUCCGGUGGUUCCGCAUGGAAGGGCCAUCGCUCAACGGAUAAAAGCUACCCCGGGGAUAACAGGCUUAUCUCCCCCAAGAGUUCACAUCGACGGGGAGGUUUGGCACCUCGAUGUCGGCUCAUCGCAUCCUGGGGCUGUAGUCGGUCCCAAGGGUUGGGCUGUUCGCCCAUUAAAGCGGUACGCGAGCUGGGUUCAGAACGUCGUGAGACAGUUCGGUCCCUAUCCGUCGUGGGCGUAGGAAAUUUGAGAGGAGCUGUCCUUAGUACGAGAGGACCGGGAUGGACAUACCUCUGGUGUACCAGUUGUCGUGCCAACGGCAUAGCUGGGUAGCUAUGUGUGGACGGGAUAAGUGCUGAAAGCAUCUAAGCAUGAAGCCCCCCUCAAGAUGAGAUUUCCCAACUUCGGUUAU
Molecule: ribosomal RNA, 1248 nt
Filed under: Staphylococcus aureus
Lineage: Bacteria; Bacillati; Bacillota; Bacilli; Caryophanales; Staphylococcaceae
Description: partial 23S ribosomal RNA
Rfam family: Bacterial large subunit ribosomal RNA
Source: RNAcentral